GGGUUAGUAGGUUGGUCAUGCCUCUGGUAUGUACUGGUCUCACUGAUUCCUCCUUCCUGAUGAGCCGUAAUGCCAUUAAUUUGGUGUUGCGGGGAAUUUGGACUGUUACUUUGAAAAAAUUAGAGUGUUUAAAGCAAGCUAACGCUUGAAUACAUUAGCAUGGAAUAAUGAAAUAGGACGUUCGAUCCUAUUUUGUUGGUUUUCGGGAGCUUGGUA
Molecule: ribosomal RNA, 216 nt
Filed under: Campeiostachys nutans
Lineage: Eukaryota; Viridiplantae; Streptophyta; Magnoliopsida; Poales; Poaceae
Description: Elymus nutans partial small subunit ribosomal RNA
Rfam family: Eukaryotic small subunit ribosomal RNA (bases 40-216)
Source: RNAcentral